GCCAGGCGAGGUGGCGCAUGCCUGUAACCCCAGCAGCUCAGGAGGCUGAGGCAGGAGAUAGUGAGUUCAAAGCCAGCUUCAGCAAUGGUGAGUUGCUAAGCAACUCAGUGAGACCCUGUCUCUA
RNAcentral lists this small RNA (124 nucleotides) under Marmota monax (woodchuck). The record is from RNAcentral. Lineage: Eukaryota; Metazoa; Chordata; Mammalia; Rodentia; Sciuridae.